AAACAUCGAAGAGCGGUCGCGAACCUGGGGUGACACACCUCUGAGCAUUAUUUCCGUCCGGCCAGGGUUCUCGAUCUCGAUAUCACGUUACGCAAUCGCGCGCCGGCCGCCUCGGCAACGCCUCGCUCCGUAACGUCAGCCGAGAAAAUAAAUGAGUUAUCCUUACGUUCUGCGAAUGGAGAAUGGAAACUGGCGACAACGGCGAAUAGGUUCGGUGACACGCAAAUAUACUAAUAACAACUAGUUCCAGGCUGCACAAGAAACCGGCGACAAUGGGUUCUCUGCUGCCCGCUGCAGUCGACAACCGCACUCGGCAUUCUCGCUAUAGAAGUUUCAGCAGGAACGAGGAUUUUUCUGCGGUUUCCCGGAAGUCUCAGGACACGCGGAAGCGUGUGCUGCUCGCGUGGCGAUCUUGCUUGGAACCGGAGAAAGGUCGAAUUCCUUGCGGUUUGCCUUGCAAUGGCAGAUAAAUUGGGCAGAUAAUCUUCACACAAAAAAAAUCUGAUUUAAUCUUGCAAAAUUACAUAAAUUUGAUAAGAGUAUGUAUAUAUAAAUUUCAACGCGCAUAUAUCGUGUCAAUUGAUGUGAAUCUGAACUUUAUUAUCCCAUAACAUCUAUAUAAAUGCGUAUGCAUACAAAUUAAUAAAAACGAAAGUAAAUAAUGUCGGAGGAUAAAUGAA
Molecule: long non-coding RNA, 680 nt
Organism: Wasmannia auropunctata (little fire ant)
Lineage: Eukaryota; Metazoa; Arthropoda; Insecta; Hymenoptera; Formicidae
Exons: 2
Source: RefSeq, a predicted model, not a curated record